GGAUGAAGAACGUAGCGAAAUGCGAUACGUAGUGUGAAUUGCAGAAUUCAGUGAAUCAUCGAAUCUUUGAACGCACAUUGCACCUCUCGGUAUUCCGGGAGGUAUGCCUGUUCGAGCGUCAUUUGUACCCUCAAGCUCUGCUUGGUGUUGGGUGUUUGUUCCGCCUCUGUGUGUGAACUCGCCUCAAAACAAUUGGCAGCCGGCGUACUUGUUUCGGAGCGCAGCACAUUUUGCGAUCCAGAUCAACGUACAGCGGCAUCCAAGAAGCCUUAUUUAACGCUCUUGACCUCGGAUCAGGUAGGGAUACCCGCUGAACUUAAGCAUAUCAAUAAGCGGAGGA
This 340-nucleotide unclassified non-coding RNA is filed under the name soil metagenome. Its description in RNAcentral is "partial contains 5.8S ribosomal RNA, internal transcribed spacer 2, and large subunit ribosomal RNA". The stretch from base 2 to 121 matches the Rfam family "5.8S ribosomal RNA", at positions 35 to 154 of the family's 154-position model. The record is from RNAcentral.